GCACUUCUCGUCCUCGUACGAGCUGACACUCGAUGAUAGAGUUUGUUGAAUGACAUUCUUCUUCCACAGGCGAGUUUAGAAACCAUGAUUAUGACGAUCUGAUUUCACUUCUCAACCUUUUAUAGGUCGAUCAGAGACUGACCUCCAAAGUGACUUUGGCCCUAGCAUACAUCACCCCAUCCAGGGAUGAGGUAGCUAU
RNAcentral lists this long non-coding RNA (199 nucleotides) under Elaeis guineensis (African oil palm). Its description in RNAcentral is "long non-coding RNA (EGUI_LNC061210)". Lineage: Eukaryota; Viridiplantae; Streptophyta; Magnoliopsida; Arecales; Arecaceae. The record is from RNAcentral.